GCCUUCCCCUCACCACCGCGUCAAUAUGCCAAGCUCAUCAUCUUGGAUCAGCAAGAACGAAAGUAGUGGAACAGCUUGAGAGCGCUCCUUGGUGACCCACCAGAACUUGAUGGUUGCUCAUGUUUCAGCGGAUGGUUCCCUAAAGCCACGCACAUACAAGCAGCACUAAUUGGGCAAAGGAGGAAGAGGAGGAGGAAGACAUGAGUUAGAGGGGAACAACAGAAGCCCAGUUUCCGGUGACAAUGUGGAGAGGCGGAAUGGAAUUGGGUUGUGGGAAGGUUCCAUCACCAGAAGGACUCCGUGUGCUUUUGAUGGGAUUCCAGUUACUUCCUACAAGAAGGGGAAGCCUGAGCUGGUCGUGGUGGUGCACACCUUCAAUGCCAGCCUUCUGAGGCUUAGGAAAAAAGAUUGAGGCCUGCCUGAGAUACACCUCGGGACCUUCCCUCUGACACCACCCCUCUGGGGAUGGCAGGGGCUACAACCUGCUCCUGAGCUUCUCUGGCUUCCUGACUCAUGUUUCCUGUCAUGUCAUCCUCCAUGAUGACUUCACUAGAGGCCAAACAGUCAUCUAAGGCAUGGUUUCAGACUCCAAUUGUAUGAGAUAAAUAAAUCUCUUUCCGUAACAAAUUUCCCAGUUCUAGUGUUUUGUUAUAAUGACAGAAAAUGGAUUAAUACAGAAGCCAAAAUCAAGGGCUGGGAAUGGUGCCACAUGCCUUUAAUCCCAGCAAAAGGGAAGCAGAGGCAGGUGGAUCUCUGUGAGUUGGAUGCUAUCCUGGACUACAUAAUGAGCUCCAGGACAGCCCAGACUGCUUAGAGACCCCACCCCCUUCUCGAAAAUCA
This is a long non-coding RNA of Meriones unguiculatus (Mongolian gerbil), 840 nucleotides long. RefSeq lists it as uncharacterized. The transcript has 3 exons. Lineage: Eukaryota; Metazoa; Chordata; Mammalia; Rodentia; Muridae. The record is from RefSeq and is a predicted model, not a curated record.